This 253-nucleotide ribosomal RNA is filed under the name uncultured bacterium. Its description in RNAcentral is "partial 16S ribosomal RNA". It matches the Rfam family "Bacterial small subunit ribosomal RNA", at positions 524 to 776 of the family's 1533-position model. The record is from RNAcentral.
UACGUAGGGGGCAAGCGUUGUCCGGAAUCAUUGGGCGUAAAGAGCGUGUAGGCGGCCCGAUAAGUCCGCUGUGAAAGUCCAGGGCUCAACCCUGGAAUGCCGGUGGAUACUGUCGGGCUCGAAUCCGGAAGAGGUGAGUGGAAUUCCUGGUGUAGCGGUGAAAUGCGCAGAUAUCAGGAGGAAUACCGGUGGCGAAAGCGACUCUCUGGACGGCAACUGACGCUGAGGCACGAAAGCGUGGGGAGCAAACAGG